RNAcentral lists this long non-coding RNA (612 nucleotides) under Lactuca sativa (garden lettuce). RNAcentral's name for it is "long non-coding RNA (LSAT_LNC003846)". The record is from RNAcentral. Lineage: Eukaryota; Viridiplantae; Streptophyta; Magnoliopsida; Asterales; Asteraceae.
ACUUUGGCAGCUAUAGACUUAGUGCCUAAUAAACAUCGGCAGCUAUGGACUUAGUGCCUAUUGGACAAACACUGGUAGCUAUGGACUUAGUACCUGUUAGGAAUGGGUAGCUAUGGACUUAGUACCUAUUAGAUAAACACUGGUAACUAUGGAUUUAGUACCCGAUGAAUAAACUAUAGCAGCUAUGGAAUUAGUGCUUUACGAACAAGCAUUGGUAGCUAUGGAUUUAGUAUCAGUCCUAUAACCCUGGAAGCAAGGGACUUCGGAAUAAACAAAUGCAUGAUAGAUGACUCUUAGGAUAGAUCCGUAAGAGUAAAGAAGAUAAUGAGGAUGGGUAAUUGGGUUGAUUGUUUGAUUGUUUAAAGUUAAUAAUUAUAUUAUUGUGGGUUGAAAACUCUAAGUACUCACCAGGUUUCCCAACCUGACCACUCAGUUUAUUUAUAUCACAGGUGUUGAUAUGAAGUCACAUUACACUGAGAGAUUAAAGAGAUGUAGACUACUAGUGUAAAUAAAUGUAAGUUCCGUUCAUGGUUAAUAAUUAUAUUAUUGUGGGUUGAAAACUCUAAGUACUCACCAGGUUUCCCAACCUGACCACUCAGUUUAUUUAUAUCA